This 194-nucleotide unclassified non-coding RNA is filed under the name uncultured fungus. RNAcentral describes it as "sequence contains ITS1". Lineage: Eukaryota; Fungi. The record is from RNAcentral.
UUAACUAUUAAAUAGUACUCAGACGAUAUUAACAAACAGAGUUUUGGGUCCUCUGGCAGGCACGGGCCAGCCGAAGCCAGCGGUCCGAGGACGGGCCUGCCAAAGCAACAAAGGUAUAAUAAACAAAGGGUGGGAGAUCUACCCCGAAGGGCAUGUUCUCUUUAAUGAUCCUUCCGCAGGUUCACCUACGGAAA